RNAcentral lists this unclassified non-coding RNA (283 nucleotides) under plant metagenome. RNAcentral's name for it is "partial contains small subunit ribosomal RNA, internal transcribed spacer 1, and 5.8S ribosomal RNA". The record is from RNAcentral.
GUUUCCGUAGGUGAACCUGCGGAAGGAUCAUUGUCGAAACCUGCCCAGCAGAACGACCCGCGAACUUGUAUAAACAACUGGGGGCGGGGGGCGUUCUCGCCCCGUGCCCCCGAACGGCGGGGAGACACUCGUGCCUUCUUGCCGAACAACGAACCCCGGCGCGGUCUGCGCCAAGGAACUUCAACUAAAGAGUGCCUCCGGUCGCCUCGGAAACGGCGUGCGUGCCGGAGGCGAAUCUUGUGCAAAACCAUAACGACUCUCGGCAACGGAUAUCUCGGCUCUC